UGGGGAAUUUUGGACAAUGGGCGAAAGCCUGAUCCAGCCAUGCCGCGUGCAGGAUGAAGGCCUUCGGGUUGUAAACUGCUUUUGUACGGAACGAAAAGCCUCUUUCUAAUAAAGAGAGGUCAUGACGGUACCGUAAGAAUAAGCACCGGCUAACUACGUGCCAGCAGCCGCGGUAAUACGUAGGGUGCAAGCGUUAAUCGGAAUUACUGGGCGUAAAGCGUGCGCAGGCGGUUUUGUAAGACGGAGGUGAAAUCCCCGGGCUCAACCUGGGAACUGCCUUUGUGACUGCAAGGCUGGAGUGCGGCAGAGGGGGAUGGAAUUCCGCGUGUAGCAGUGAAAUGCGUAGAUAUGCGGAGGAACACCGAUGGCGAAGGCAAUCCCCUGGGCCUGCACUGACGCUCAUGCACGAAAGCGUGGGGAGCAAACAGGAUUAGAUACCCUGGUAGUCCACGCCCUAAACGAUGUCAACUGGUUGUUGGGUCUUCACUGACUCAGUAACGAAGCUAACGCGUGAAGUUGACCGCCUGGGGAGUUACGGCCGCAAGGUUGAAACUCAAAGGAAUUGACGGGG
RNAcentral lists this ribosomal RNA (571 nucleotides) under uncultured bacterium. RNAcentral describes it as "partial 16S ribosomal RNA". It matches the Rfam family "Bacterial small subunit ribosomal RNA", at positions 355 to 918 of the family's 1533-position model. The record is from RNAcentral.